GAUGUCGAUUAGGUGUUGGGCAGCAUGACUGCUUAGUAGCGAAGAUAACGCGUGAAAUCGACCGCCUGGGGAGUACGGUCGCAAGAUUAAAACUCAAAGGAAUUGACGGGGACCCGCACAAGCGGUGGAUGAUGUGGAUUAAUUCGAUGCAACGCGAAGAACCUUACCUGGUCUUGACAUGUACGGAAUCCUCCAGAGACGGAGGAGUGCCUUCGGGAGCCGUAACACAGGUGCUGCAUGGCUGUCGUCAGCUCGUGUCUUGAGAUGUUGGGUUAAGUCCCGCAACGAGCGCAACCCUUGUCAUUAGUUGCCAUCAUUAAGUUGGGCACUCUAAUGAGACCGCCGGUGACAAGCCGGAGGAAGGUGGGGAUGACGUCAAGUCCUCAUGGCCCUUAUGACCAGGGCUUCACACGUCAUACAAUGGUCGGUACAGAGGGUAGCCAAGCCGCGAGGCGGAGCCAAUCUCACAAAACCGAUCGUAGUCCGGAUUGCACU
RNAcentral lists this ribosomal RNA (495 nucleotides) under Neisseria sp. DT18112010. RNAcentral's name for it is "bacterial SSU rRNA". It matches the Rfam family "Bacterial small subunit ribosomal RNA", at positions 808 to 1304 of the family's 1533-position model. Lineage: Bacteria; Pseudomonadati; Pseudomonadota; Betaproteobacteria; Neisseriales; Neisseriaceae. The record is from RNAcentral.